AAAAGAGAGAGAGAGAGCGAGCGAGCCUGGGUUCCAACAACUCUUCUACCUUGGUGAUUCUGGGUUUCUGUAAACGGGACUAGUUUCUAACCUAGUGGGACUGUGAGGAUUGAAUGAGUUGAUAUUUGUUAAGUGCUUGGAAACGUGCCUAGCAGCUGGUAAGCACUCAGUAUUUGUUAGCUAUUAUCCUGGAAGUUUAGAGGUAUCUCCAUGUAUCUGAGUAGGCUCCAUCACUGGUUUGUCUCACAGAACAGGCCUGUACAACUUUAAUUUUUUGUUUUUCAUCAAGGAAUUUCCCCCAUGAAUUCAAUAAAAUUCACUGCAGAAUUUUUUUAAACGGCCACUGACAAAUCUUUCUACGCCCCACCAAGCUUAGUUUCUGAGGUGAGCUCCUACUAGGUACCUGGUUCUCAAAGUCUGCUCAGUGCCCCCACCCUUCCCAAAACCACGCUUUACGCUCUAGCUUAAAGAGCUCAUCAGUGGAGUAGAGUAGAAGGGUGGGCCUGUUUUCAGGAAAUUUAGAGCAUUUCUGGGCAACGCCUCCUCCAUUUGGGAACGCCUUCCUGGCUUCUGAGGGCUCAGGGUGUGCCAUCGGCUGGCCCAUGUCAGAGAGGGAAGAGGGCUGGAGGCUGGUCAGCUGGAGCCCCAGGAGCCCCAGCAUGUGCUUGUCAGCCCUGGAGGCUGGGGCCACCAGACCUCAUCCACUCCUCAUCCACACUCUUGCAGCACUGACCAGUGCAAAGGGCUCCUGUUUCUCUUUCCCUGAAAAGAACAAGGCAGAAUGAAAAAAGACCGAGCAUAGGCAUCAUGAUUCCCUUAGUGCCAUGUGGGAGACUCUGGCCAAGAAACUAAAGCCUCAGUUUUCUAUAAAAGGAGAAGCCAGAUGGCUUCCACAGCUCCUUUGGAUUCUGGCCUUCCUCAAGUCUAGGAUCUCCAAAGAGCUGCUACCUCAGGGGGGCAAUGGCAGCGAUGAUGCAAAUCAGGGGGUGGGAUAGAGAAGGCUCGGAAUGGCAGAGAACAUUCCAUAGAACUCCCAAGCCUAGCUGUAGCCAAUGGGGAACUUCAGCAGCCUCUCCACUCCCCGCCCGCAGUCCAGCAUUCCCAGACUGCCACUGCCCUUACACGCCUUUCCCCAUGCCUGGCCAUAGGGCCUCGAGCUCAGUGGACAAACUGCUGUGCUUACAGCUCCCGGAAAGACUGACAGAGGUUUUCUUUUUGUACUCUGGCCAGCUGCAAACCCAAGCAGUAAGCUGUUGGAGGGCAGAUGAAUGUGGUGGAAAGAGCAGUGACCUGGGCAUCAGCGUGCUUGUGUUUGAAACACUGCAUCCUGCAUGACAGUCUCCAUCAGUAGCUUUCCAGGCUGCACGUGGCCUGACAGAGCUGAAGAGGAACAUCUCUGGGGGAAGAGGGGCCAGGGCUCCAGUGCAAGAUCAGAAGUUCCAGGGCCUGCUCACACCCACUAAAGGUGGUCAGGAGGCAGAACUGGGAACUUCCAGACUGGGCCACUAGAGUUCCGUACAGAUUCCUGCUGCCUGAAGAUUUGUGUGGUCGUCUCUCUCCCAGAAACAGUUUUCCAAGUAAGGUACGUAUACUUCUGUGAUCGGGAAGAAUGCAAAGCCAGAUGCUAAGGACUGCAGAACUCUGGAGUCAGUCUGCCAUGGGAUGGAAUCCCGGCUACUUAUUAAAUACUGCGUGGCCUUAAGCAAAUUACUGAACCUCUCUGAACUCUUCUGUUUUCUCAUCUGUAAAACAAGGAUUAUAACUGUCGAUCUCACAGGGCUGUGGAAACGAACCUAGAUAAUAAAUGAGAUGGUGUGGUGGCUCACAAGUUUGAUAAUCAUGUUAGGAGUGGAGAGUCUGGGGCCGUCUGGCCUGGGCAUCUGUCCUCAAGGCAAGCUACUCAUGAAGCAGAUUCUAGGACGUCUGGCUAAGCCCAGGAACACGAUAAAAACAUAUUAGUGACAGACGAGCAAUGCAUUCAUAAGCACAGGUCCCACUCCUUUCUUACAAGUUGCGAGAAAUGAAGGUCCAGCCAGGAGAAACAAGAGAGCAGGGCUGAAAACAGAACUUGGAUCCAGAGACUUUCAGUUUGCUCUCACCCCACCCAGAAGAUCU
Suricata suricatta (meerkat) is the source of this 2115-nucleotide long non-coding RNA. Lineage: Eukaryota; Metazoa; Chordata; Mammalia; Carnivora; Herpestidae. The record is from Ensembl.